CCUACGGGUGGCUGCAGUGGGGAAUAUUGCACAAUGGGGGAAACCCUGAUGCAGCGACGCCGCGUGAGCGAUGAAGUAUCUCGGUAUGUAAAGCUCUAUCAGCAGGGAAGUAAAUGACGGUACCUGACUAAGAAGCCACGGCUAACUACGUGCCAGCAGCCGCGGUAAUACGUAGGGGGCAAGCGUUAUCCGGAUUUACUGGGUGUAAAGGGAGCGUAGACGGUCCUGCAAGUCAGUUGUGAAAGCCCGGGGCUCAACCCCGGGACUGCAUUUGAAACUGUAAGGCUUGAGUGUCGGAGAGGCAGGCGGAAUUCGUGGUGUAGCGGUGAAAUGCGUAGAUAUUAGGAGGAACACCGGUUGCGAAGGCGGCCUGCUGGACGAUGACUGACGUUGAGGCUCGAAAGCGUGGGGAGCAAACAGGAUUAGAUACCCGAGUAGUC
Molecule: ribosomal RNA, 440 nt
Filed under: uncultured bacterium
Lineage: Bacteria
Description: partial 16S ribosomal RNA
Rfam family: Bacterial small subunit ribosomal RNA
Source: RNAcentral